AUUGAACGCUGGCGGCAGGCCUAACACAUGCAAGUCGAACGAGUGGCGGACGGGUGAGUAAUGUCUGGGAAACUGCCUGAUGGAGGGGGAUAACUACUGGCAACGGUAGCUAAUACCGCAUACCAUCGGAUGUGCCCAGAUGGGAUUAGCUAGUAGGUGGGGUAACGGCUCAACUAGGCGACGAUCCCUAGCUGGUCUGAGCGGAUGACCGGACACACUGGUACUGAGACACGGUCCAGACUCCUACGGGAGGCAGCAGUGGGGAAUAUUGCACAAUGGGCGCAAGCCUGAUGCAGCCAUGCCGCGUGUAGGAAGAAGGCCUGCGGGUUGUAAAGUACUUUCAGCGGGGAGGCGUUACCCGCAGAAGAAGCACCGGCUAACUCCGUGCCAGCAGCCGCGGUAAUUC
This 406-nucleotide ribosomal RNA is filed under the name uncultured bacterium. Its description in RNAcentral is "partial 16S ribosomal RNA". It matches the Rfam family "Bacterial small subunit ribosomal RNA", at positions 30 to 526 of the family's 1533-position model. The record is from RNAcentral.